CCAAAGCACAGCUCCCAGCAGGUCCCCAGUAGUUGUCGCACACGCAGACUGGCGCACUUAUCAUCCUCGAAUUUCGAGUAUACUUCUGAGUUUUCGCGUGUACCACACCUGCGCGCGCUCGACCAUCUUCUCCAGGUACUCGAUCCCUCUGCUCGUUCUCCUUUCUGAUUUGUGCGUUUUGGCCCCUCUUCUCUUUUCCACUUCUUUCUUUGUUUGGAACCUCACUCGUGUCUCUGUCUGUCUCCUUGUACUUCCCCUUUUACGUUGCAUGAUCUAGCGUCAUCAUCUCUGUCUGUGUAUCUUUUUAUCUUGUACCCCCCCCUUCACUCACCUGCCAUCGCUGGCGGUGCUCUCGGACCCCCCCUCCAUCCCUCCCUCGCUCUUGUGGUGUUGCGUAUUUGUGAUCAAAAGGUAGAGGCAGAGGGAACAAGAGACAAAUAAAGAGGGAGAGAACUGCCAGGUGUGCCGGCAUCUGUGUCACGUGGCCGCUUGCACCUGAUUUAUUAUACAAAGACAGCACAUCUCCCUGUUGCUCUGCCUCCAUUCACCACCACCACCCGCCUGUGCACAAGCGCCGGGGUGAUUGUGUAAGUACGUCAUACCCCCUCGUGCGGAUCGUCACACCAUUUCGCUUUUUGUUGCUAGUGUUUCGGCAGUCAUCAUUGAUCAGAGCGUACAGACGAUCACGAGCAGCGUGGCCCCGUGGGACGGCAACGGGCUUUCGACCUUCUUCGACUUUCUCGAAGGAGAGAGUCUUCACCUUCCUCCGACACCGAUGCUGCUCGGCAACGGAGGCGUGGCCGACAGUGUUACAGCUGUUGCUGCUACCGAUUCUAUCAAGAACCCCAUGGAGCGGCCGCCAGCAUCCGAGGGAAACCUGCAACCGCAGCUGUCGAAAGGCGCCCUACAAGACGUGUUGGAGGGUGAAAAGCAUCGCCGACUACAAACUGUCGACGUCGGCGGCAUGGUGGGGUACCGCCGCGUCGCGCGGCCUCGCAAUGAAUCGGUCUACCGCGGCCUCGCGCCGUCGUCGCGGUCGACAAAGAAGCAACUCACCGCUGCCGACGAGCAGCUGUGCAAGCGACUGGCUGCAUCGCACAACAGCAGCAGCAGCACCUUGCAGCAUCACUCUGCCUCCGGCGUCUCCUCAGGUGCUGCAUCGCAGAAGGUGUGCAAUGACAACUCGACGUCUCUGCUCUCCUGCAAGGGUGCACGUCAGCAAGCCAUCGAAGAGGACCGCGAUACUGACCUCUCCGCCGCCGCCUGCGGGGGCGCAGUUGUGGGCCUGCGAGAGUCCUCCGCGGUUGUUCUGCAGCCACUCGACACUCUGCAGGAUACCCCUCUGGACGAGGGCAAAGACCACCCCAAUGGUAAAGGCGAUUAUUCCCCAAGCUUCACCGGCGGCACCGGCUAUCCUGACACGGCGGCGGCGGCGGCAGCGAUACGGGUGCCAAUGCUGGAGUCUAGAGGCCAGCCCUCUUGCCGGCAGUCUUCAAGGGUUUCUUCGCCGCUUAGCUCUCACCCUACAAGCAUCAUAACGGCCAAGCCAUCAUUCAAGAGCUGCAGCGCCCAACCCCAGAGUGUGCGCACGGUCGAGUCCUUUCGAAGCCUGACUGGCAGUCGCAUCAACUACCCCGGGAGCGUGCCGGGCAGCUCGGUCGGGUACGCCGACGACGUAACUAGGGUUGAUGAGCGGCACCGGCCCAUCCGUCGUAUGAGCUCUUCAUGCGACCUGUCGGUUGUCUGGAUUGCGCCGCCGCUCUGUGAGUGGCUGAGACCAGGCGAAGCGUGCUCGGUCAAAGGCAACUCGAUGGCACGGUCGCACCGCGCUCCAUCAGCGAGGACACCUGUGGCGCAGGCUCGUGUGCCUGGAGCACCUUGCCGUCUCCCAUCAACAACGACGCCGCAUAAGAAGCAGGAAACCUCACGAUCCCGCUCGUCACACGGUGAGGCUUCAUUGGGCUCUGCUCACAUGGGAGAAAAGAGCGACGAAGAGCGACACGUAUUGCAGUGCUGGCUUAGUAGCACUUGUGGCUCUUUCACUCAUGCGAACAGACCGAAAAUGGCGUCGGCGGCAGAGGGACGCCUUAUCGGUCAUGCAGCAGGCAACGACCGUAGCUGCGCGGACGGCCAUCAGUGGCCACUCCGUGAGCAAGCUGCUCGAACGCCAGAGUCGGCAGCACAACACUCCCCCUCGGCUUCAUCUCGGCGCGAGGCGCUCAGUGCCGUCACGCCAACCCUUGGCGAGGUGCUGGAGAGAAACCGUGCUGAUCUCAAGGUGCAGCCCAACGCCCCCUCCGUUGCGGCGCCAUAUUCUCCGAGUGCGGCCUACACUCGCAGUGGCGACAGAUGGACUGCCGCACCAGCUCAUCUUCCUGCGCUCACCUGGUCGGCUGUCUGCGCCGCGGCUCAACAUCCGUAUUAUGCAUCCGGGCAGCAACAGCAACGCCCUGUGCCCUACGUGCACACGUAUGAUGUCGCGUACCACGACGAAGGUCAGACCUACGCUGCAACAGAGGUAACAAACGCCUACAUGCAUGGUGGCAGUGGGAUUUUCCUUCCAGGGCUGGAACGCGCGAAGCCGUCGUGCGUGCGGCCGGUGGGCGGCCUCAAGGCAAACAAAUGGCGGGCACCGGUGCCCCCGGCCAAGCGCCGUGUCGUUUUUGAGUUGCUCGACCCGUUAGUCCCUGUCCGCCCCAGGCCCACACUUCGUCAGUUUCAACGACCUCGCCGGCCACCACAGCGCUCCCCACAGCGGCCGACUAGCAAAUUGUUGGGAAGCAGCCAACAGAAACGCAUAGGCCUUGCCGAGGUCGAGGCAGCCGCUUCUCCCAUACAGCAGGUGCGCCAGCAAGCGCUGUCGCUGCAGCGAGAAAACACAUCCGCGGCAACCAGUGACCGCGAGGACAUGACGCUUACGGGCCUGGGUGAGGACGAGGAAUGGGCUUCGGCGCAUAACUACCCGGCCGUGGAGCCUCCGCGAACGGCUGCUCCCGCUGAUGAUACCGUGUACGCCACUGUCGCUCGGAAACGCAAGCUCAACCUCCACAAGAGGAAGGCACAGCAGAAUGCGAGACUUUACCGUGCGUUUGCUCCAUACAUGGCAAGCCUGCGGGCCGGCCCCGGUGCGGGGGGGCGAGGCCGCGCGGUGCAGCGCAAGCAGAAGUGUAGGAAAAAUGGUCUGUUACCGCACCAGCGCGGAAGCAGCGACGCACAAAACGAUCUACAGUCGAUGAACUACGCUGCUCUGGCGACGGAGUGUGACCCGCUGGAUCACCUGCUGAGUCGACACGGAUUCUGGGGUGAGGCAAUGACGCGGCUCUAGGGGAGGUGCAAAAGAGGAGCAGCUCUUUUCAGCGGCGAAGACGUGCAUGCGCAUGAGUAAUGUGCCUGUGUAUGUGUAAGUGUAGCCCGUCUCGUCAGAUGGCCAAUUGAUUUUUCUUUUAUUUUUUUUUCGAUCGGGGGCGGGGACGUUCAAUAAUUGAAAGUUUCCACUUCGCCGCCUCCCAUGGAACAUCCAAGCAAGCGCAGUAGGGCAUCCUUCGUCGCCUCUGUCACCUCCCCCCCCCACUCCUUCGCUCAUGCCCCCAUCCCCUCUUGGAUGUUUUGAUACUACACUACUCUUCUCUACUGUAACACCUUGAAAUCCACCUUCGCACGUUUUCCACCGGCUCUAAUGGCUCACUUUCGUUUUUUUUUGGGGGGAGCUCUCUUUGCUCAUAAGAUGCGGAGUCUCGGAGGGCCCUGGCCUGCGGCUCGCCAACUGCCUCCCUGAGCUCGUGCGGCACGCGCCUGGGCCACACCCUGCUGCCCGCGCGACAGAAGUCACCGCCUCCGCACCGGAGCAGGGCUCUGGGCGCUGCUCGCCUGGAUCAGGGCGUGCAGUCCACCCAGGUCCGCGUGGUGCCGGUGGGACGGUACACAUGGGAAGAGGGGACGGGGGAAGGACAGGACGGGCUCGUCCUAGGCGGCCAGAAUGUAGCCGUGGCGCAACAGAAGUAGAUGAGUGGUGGUGCUGUGUUGUGUGUGUGUGCGUGCGUAUACGUGCUUGGCCGGUCUGUGGGCGCAUGGCACGGCAAAGACGGGAGAAGAAUAAAACGCCUGGUUGUUUUCAUAAUCUCACACUCUUGCAAACCUUCAUCCUGGGAGGCGGGAGGGGCACAGCUGAGUGUGAUGGCGUUUUCCUUGAUGAUGCUCUCGUUUUUUUUCUUUGGGAGAGAGGCUUUGCCCGUACUUCCUUGGGCCUUCGUCUUGAUCUCAUGCAUUCCUCCUUUGCGACCCGUCCUGUCUCUCACGCGGUCUCUGUCUGUCUGUCGGAAGCCCAUUUCAUUCCUGCUCGUUCUCUCGCCCACGGAAACACUUCGGCUGCUCCGGCGUCUGUGCAUGAUUUUAGGUGUGUGUGUGUGUGUGUGUGUGUGUUUCUCCUUCGUUUGUUGUGGCCGUGUGCGCACGAUUGAUCGACCGUGUCUGCGUGGUGGCGUAUGCAGGCGGAGAGGGAGGGAGGAGAGCCCCCCUCCCACUCGCUCGCUCACUUGCUCGUUUCUCCAUGAUACGGGCACGCGAAUGCCUUGAGGAAAGACGGAGCAGCGCUUGUUGUCGCCGACGUUUGUGUCUGUUUCGGUGUCUCCCCUCGACUUCAUACUCUCCCACGCUUUCACCCAUUCGCAUGUACGGCAUGUGCCACUCCUCUGCUUCGCUGCAUCUCCCUUGUGCACGUGUGUACCGUGCGAGAAAAGCCUGCCUUCAUGCGGCUCUGUGUGCGGCUGGGAAGUUGGCAUCCCUGUGCCUCGGGCUGUUGGUGUAGCGGUGCUAUCACCAUGCUUCUUGUUUUACUCUCCUCCCCUUGGGUGUUCUCGAUGCCUUUCGUGCUCCGGGUCGAACAUUCAUAACAGGUGGGGGAAGGGGGCACACACCCCUCGGUGCGUGGCAUCUCAGGGCUCGGUACACCGACGCUCGGCGGAAAAGCCACGUAUCCCCAUACCUCACCCUGUCAAUGCCGAGCCACCUCUGGUGGUGGCAUGGCCUAGUGCCUACGACGUAGCGGGGCCAGAGCAACCUGCGAUGGCGAAAACGCUUGUGCCAUCCACGUGAUGGGCAAGGUGUCAGCGUGGCUGUGAGGCGGGCGGGCAGAGUGUGAGGCAGCGGCCACGCUCAGGUGACUGAGUCGGUGCACGGCUGUAACGCGUGUGUGCAGGGCUGCUUCGCACCACGCGAUGGGGGCCUGUGACCGGCGUGGAGGGGGUGUAGAGUUGGGGGGCGGCUAAGCCGUGUUGAAUGGCGGAGAAGCGGGCACGCUGGACGGGACAACAAGCGCAUUGGCACUCGUGCUCGAGUGAGCGAUAGGGCCUUUUUUUGGAUACGGUGCCCGUUCUCCUCUGCCUCUUGGCUCGCUGACCAGUCUGACCCCCUCCCCCUCCGCAAACCCUACCGUCUCCCACCCUCGUGGUUGUGUGCGGCGCUGCGUGUGUACGCUGAAGCCGCAAGCUCUUCCUUUUGCCAUGCUGCCUGCACCCGUCGAACCUUUGAAAGAUUGUGCCGGUGUGAGCGCGCCUGUUGUCUCCCUCUCUUUGGGUGCGUGCCAUCACUCCAGCAGUCAUCGACUCAGACCAAUAAAACACCGAAGGGCAGCUCUUCUGGUGCCUAUCCUUGCCCUCCUCCGCGUGGACCGUACAUCGCUCAUCUUUCCGGUCUUUUGCCUUUCUCUCGUCGAUGUGUACACCCCCACCCCUCCACGUGUUGUUUGCUCUCUUGAUGGCGGUGCAACGCUGCUUUACUGUGUGGCCGGCCGCUGCUCACUCCCUCCCUGUAUCCCCUCUUUAUGUAUAUUCGUGUGUUCAGUGUGUUUCCGUUGCCCUUCGCCGGUACUGUGCGGCCCAUGGCCACAGUCACUCUCUCUCCCCUCAUCCCUUAUGUUCUGCCUUUGCCUUCGCCUCUUUCUCUCUUGCAGCUGUGUCGCAC
RNAcentral lists this unclassified non-coding RNA (5958 nucleotides) under Leishmania donovani. RNAcentral's name for it is "gene:LdHU3.31.3510(CDS-product:hypothetical_prote in_conserved)". Lineage: Eukaryota; Euglenozoa; Kinetoplastea; Trypanosomatida; Trypanosomatidae. The record is from RNAcentral.